CCACCUAGAAGUUACCUCAAUCCUCUCCUAUAUACACCAUAUCUAUUACAAUAUAUUUGUACACAUAUUGGGCCAUUUGGGCCAGAAAAAAAUAACAGAUGUUAUUUACAAAUGCUGCUACUCGGUUUGGGCUGUGCAGAUGGCCCAUAACUUCAACACUCUGACUGGGCUGUGCAGAUGGCCCAACAACUCCAACACCCCCCUGCAAGUUGGAGGGUGACUGAACUCCCAACUUGAGCAAGAUAGAGUGAUGCAAAAUGCCAGU
This 265-nucleotide long non-coding RNA is filed under the name Nicotiana benthamiana. RNAcentral describes it as "long non-coding RNA (NBEN_LNC023285)". Lineage: Eukaryota; Viridiplantae; Streptophyta; Magnoliopsida; Solanales; Solanaceae. The record is from RNAcentral.